UUUGACCUUCGACUCAAAACGUGCUAUUUUAAGUUCAACCCGUUCGUCUUUUGUUUAGUGUGCUUCCCCGAUGAGAUGGGUCAUUGCUUGAAUAAAUAAAUGGUCAGCACCGAGAGGAACCUGCGAACGGUAUACUGUUUCCCCUCGGCUUAACGACUGCAGAGGCCAGGAGGAAAGUGAGAGGGAAGAAUUGGGAGAGGAGUGUGGGGGAAGGAAGAGGAAGUACUAGGAUGGGCGUAGAGGAAAACAAGGUGAAAUGUUCUAUGAGUCCUGUCCUGUCAGACCCCCCAUGUGAACUUGCAACCAUGGGGGUGUAGGCAUCACAUUUUGUGUGCCUAGGGCCGCGACAAAUGUCCCUCCAUGCAUGGGCGUGCAUUCCGUAUGAAGACCGAGCGCACAAGAAUUGCCUCGGGGGGGACUAAGUACUUAUUAGGUAA
Manduca sexta (tobacco hornworm) is the source of this 437-nucleotide long non-coding RNA. RefSeq lists it as uncharacterized. The record is from RefSeq and is a predicted model, not a curated record. The transcript has 2 exons. Lineage: Eukaryota; Metazoa; Arthropoda; Insecta; Lepidoptera; Sphingidae.